CUCAGGAUGAACGCUAGCGGCAGGCUUAACACAUGCAAGUCGAGGGGUAAAUAGUUUUCGGAUUAUUGAGACCGGCGCACGGGUGCGUAACGCGUAUGCAAUCUACCUUUUACAGAGGGAUAGCCCAGAGAAAUUUGGAUUAAUACCUCAUAGUAUUGUUGACUGGCAUCAUUUAACAAUUAAAGUUCCAACGGUAAAAGAUGAGCAUGCGUCCCAUUAGUUAGUUGGUAAGGUAACGGCUUACCAAGACAAUGAUGGGUAGGGGUCCUGAGAGGGAGAUCCCCCACACUGGUACUGAGACACGGACCAGACUCCUACGGGAGGCAGCAGUGAGGAAUAUUGGACAAUGGGCGCAAGCCUGAUCCAGCCAUGCCGCGUGCAGGAAGAAGCAUCUAUGGUGUGUAAACUGCUUUUGUACGGGAAGAAACAUCACUACGUGUAGUGACUUGACGGUACCGUAAGAAUAAGGAUCGGCUAACUCCGUGUCAGCAGCCGCGGUAAUACGGAGGAUCCAAGCGUUAUCCGGAAUCAUUGGGUUUAAAGGGUCCGUAGGCGGUUUAAUAAGUCAGUGGUGAAAUCUGGUCGCUCAACGAUCAAACGGCCAUUGAUACUGUUAAACUUGAAUUAUUGUGAAGUAACUAGAAUAUGUAGUGUAGCGGUGAAAUGCUUA
Molecule: ribosomal RNA, 670 nt
Filed under: uncultured bacterium
Lineage: Bacteria
Description: bacterial SSU rRNA
Rfam family: Bacterial small subunit ribosomal RNA
Source: RNAcentral